UGGGGAAUCUUGCGCAAUGGGCGAAAGCCUGACGCAGCAACGCCGCGUGGGGGAUGAAGGCUCUCGGGUUGUAAACCCCUUUCAGCAGGAACGAAAAUGACGGUACCUGCAGAAGAAGGCCCGGCCAACUACGUGCCAGCAGCCGCGGUAAUACGUAGGGGCCAAGCGUUGUCCGGAUUUAUUGGGCGUAAAGAGCUCGUAGGCGGUUUGGAUAGUCGGGUGUGAAAACUCCGAGCUCAACUCGGAGACGCCACCCGAUACUGCCAUGACUAGAGUCCGGUAGGGGAGCAGGGAAUUCCUGGUGUAGCGGUGAAAUGCGCAGAUAUCAGGAGGAACACCGGUGGCGAAGGCGCUGCUCUGGGCCGGUACUGACGCUGAGGAGCGAAAGCGUGGGUAGCAAACAGGAUUAGAUACCCCCGUAGUCC
This 425-nucleotide ribosomal RNA is filed under the name uncultured bacterium. RNAcentral's name for it is "bacterial SSU rRNA". It matches the Rfam family "Bacterial small subunit ribosomal RNA", at positions 355 to 796 of the family's 1533-position model. The record is from RNAcentral.